GAUGAAUUGUCACCGGACAACGUUAACCCAACUUCCUUAGGUCAUUGUGGAAGUUGGGUGGACGUUGUCCUUUUU
This 75-nucleotide non-coding RNA is filed under the name Lactiplantibacillus plantarum WCFS1. The record is from RNAcentral. Lineage: Bacteria; Bacillati; Bacillota; Bacilli; Lactobacillales; Lactobacillaceae.